This 525-nucleotide ribosomal RNA is filed under the name uncultured bacterium. Its description in RNAcentral is "bacterial SSU rRNA". It matches the Rfam family "Bacterial small subunit ribosomal RNA", at positions 353 to 896 of the family's 1533-position model. The record is from RNAcentral.
AGUGGGGAAUCUUAGACAAUGGGCGCAAGCCUGAUCUAGCCAUGCCGCGUGAGUGAAGAAGGCCUUAGGGUCGUAAAGCUCUUUCGCCUGUGAAGAUAAUGACUGUAGCAGGCAAAGAAACCCCGGCUAACUCCGUGCCAGCAGCCGCGGUAAUACGGAGGGGGUUAGCGUCGUUCGGAAUUACUGGGCGUAAAGCGCGCGUAGGCGGACAUUUAAGUCAGGGGUGAAAUCCCGGGGCUCAACCCCGGAACUGCCCUUGAUACUGGGUGUCUUGAGUUCGAGAGAGGUGAGUGGAAUUCCGAGUGUAGAGGUGAAAUUCGUAGAUAUUCGGAGGAACACCAGUGGCGAAGGCGGCUCACUGGCUCGAUACUGACGCUGAGGUGCGAAAGUGUGGGGAGCAAACAGGAUUAGAUACCCUGGUAGUCCACACCGUAAACGAUGAAUGCCAGUCGUCGGGCAGCAUGCUGUUCGGUGACACACCUAACGGAUUAAGCAUUCCGCCUGGGGAGUACGGUCGCAAGAUUA